Triticum aestivum (bread wheat) is the source of this 1736-nucleotide long non-coding RNA. RefSeq lists it as uncharacterized. The transcript has 2 exons. The record is from RefSeq and is a predicted model, not a curated record. Lineage: Eukaryota; Viridiplantae; Streptophyta; Magnoliopsida; Poales; Poaceae.
UCUUCCUCCACCUUCUUCCACCAACCCCAGCGCCGCCCACCAGUGCCGCCCGCCCCCAACCACCUCCUACCCCACGUUCAGCGCCCCCACCUCCCACCCCGCGGCGGCGCCCCCAACCCCGGCCACCUCCCACCCCGCGGCGGCGCCCCAACCCCGGCCACCUCCCACCCUGCAGCGGCGCCCCACCCCCGGCCACCUCCCACCCCACGGCGGCGCCUCCAACCCCGGCCACCUCCCACCCUGCAGCGGCGCCCCAACCUCGGCCACCUCCCACCCCAUGGCGGCGCCCCCAACCCCGGUCACCUCCCACCAGUGCCUGAUGGAUAUGAGUUCUGCUUGUCCCCGCGGUGAUGGAUCCGAGCUCGCCGGUCCCCCACUGCAUGCCCCGCCACCGGAUCUAGGCGUCGCCAGGACGUGGCCACCCGUUGCUGGCAGGCCCUGGCUUCCUCCCCUCGCUGUGGGCGGUUGUGCUCUGGCCUCAAAAUCCUCCUGCCGGCUGCCUCGACGAGCUCCUCCCUCCCAACCCCGCCACUACUUCCUCCUCGACAUGGCCAGACCCCAUCCUCUUCCCCGGAUCUGGCAAAAGAAGGGGCGACGCUGGUGUUCACGGUGGCGGCCCAAGAAGCUCGAGAUGGAUCGAGCAGCGUCCAGUCGCCCAGUUGCUGGCCCCGGUCAACCACAGAGCCUUGCACGCUGGAUACAGCGGAUUUGGUUCUUCCACGCGCCGCCACUUGGUCCCUGAGCGCCCACAGGAGAUGGCUUCGGUUCUCCGCCAACCGACAAGCGAGGAGGGCGACGACACGAGCUCCUCCUCCGGCGAGGAUCCCAGCAACUACCCAGCCGCCCCAUGGCACUUGUCCUGGCAAGGAUGAGGGUCGAGGACGCCUAGAUGCGGGUUGCUGCCAGCAUCCUAGUUCCCUGGUGCAGUCCAUACUUUUUGCUGAUUGAACCUCAACAAGCUCCAAUCAGAAAUGUGGGCGAGGCCAGAGAGGACCGCAAUGACGAUAAGAAGCUACACCUGUGCUCGAUCAGAACUGCACAGAGGGGACAACGCCGCUGUGUAGUUCGAGCCACCGAGGGCGUGAAGUGCGUUCGGUGAGUGCAUGCGGUUCGGCGGGGCAUCGUUUCCUAUGGGAGCUGCCUCCCUGGUCCUCGUCGUCCUCUCCCAUGGUGGUGGCGUGGUGGGGCUACCUCUCUGGUCCUCCUCGUCGUCCUCUCCUACGGGGCCGCAUGCAGUCAACUACGUGCGGGCACGCAGCACGUAGGCACUCUCAUGCGCAGUCCACAGCAUGGGUUCAGCCCCCACAGCGGCAUGCAGCUCCGCCCACGGGCCUAUGCAGUACGCGAUGACGAGCUGGUUUCGGGGAGCAAAACCAUCAGCGUGUGGUUUGGUGUUUUUUUCUAAUGUUCACUACUCUCAUUCAUAUCACUUUCCUCUUCUUUUUGGAUGGAAAUGUUCAGUGCACUGAAGUUUUCUUCGGUGUGGACUGCAAAGCAAGGAUGAAGCAACACUCUACUUUGGGCAAAAUACGGCUCGCGUGCAGUCCUCUCCUCCGGCGACAUCUACCUUGGAUACGAGACAAGGUUCACAUGUUGUGUGUCUGCAGCUCGGCGCACAGCGAGUGCACUUCACUAUUAUUGGAUUUGUUGCUGUUGGGAAUGCGUUUAAUUAUUUGUUGAGAAAUUCAUUUUAAUAUGCAUGGAUGGUUCUUCAUGAAAAAAUGUUGUUCAUCUCA